CCAGAGAGGGUCAGGCUCUUCUCUGGCAUCACAGACGAAGUGAGUGGGAAAGGCCAAACCUGAACCCAGGCCUCUGUCCUUUCCUCCCCCCAGAUGAGGCCAGACCACGGACACUCCACCCAGACAUGAAGACAGGAUUGCCAGGAAUGACCCAGAGGCAGCAUCCGGGCCUGCCAGCCCCUGACCCUAACCCCAGGACUCACCCCGCCUGAGUGAGGCCCCAGGGACCCACCAAGGAAGCAUCUCCAGGCCCAGCAAAAGGGCAGGCUAUGGGCAAGGCAGGGAUGGACAGGCAGAGUCAGGACGGUCCACCCCCCUCAAAAGAAACGC
Molecule: long non-coding RNA, 330 nt
Filed under: Marmota monax (woodchuck)
Lineage: Eukaryota; Metazoa; Chordata; Mammalia; Rodentia; Sciuridae
Source: RNAcentral